GAUGAACGCUAGCGGCAGGCCUAACACAUGCAAGUCGGACGGUAACAUAGAGUGCUUGCACUUUGAUGACGAGUGGCGCACGGGUGCGUAACGCGUAUAGAACCUACCCUGUACAGGGGGAUAGCCCAUGGAAACGUGGAUUAAUACCCCGUGGUGAUAUUUUAUGGCAUCGUAAGAUAUUUAAAGUCUUCGGGCGGUACGGGAUGGCUAUGCGUCUUAUUAGCUAGUAGGUAAGGUAACGGCUUACCUAGGCUACGAUAAGUAGGGGCCCUGAGAGGGGGAUCCCCCACACUGGUACUGAGACACGGACCAGACUCCUACGGAGGCAGCAGUGAGGAAUAUUGGACAAUGGGCGAAGCCUGAUCCAGCCAUGCCGCGUGCAGGAAGACGGCCCUAUGGGUUGUAAACUGCUUUUAUACAGGAAGAAUAAUCACCACGUGUGGUGAGAUGACGGUACUGUAAGAAUAAGGACCGGCUAACUCCGU
RNAcentral lists this ribosomal RNA (485 nucleotides) under uncultured bacterium. RNAcentral's name for it is "bacterial SSU rRNA". It matches the Rfam family "Bacterial small subunit ribosomal RNA", at positions 28 to 506 of the family's 1533-position model. The record is from RNAcentral.